Carassius gibelio (silver crucian carp) is the source of this 2510-nucleotide long non-coding RNA. RefSeq lists it as uncharacterized. The transcript has 3 exons. The record is from RefSeq and is a predicted model, not a curated record. Lineage: Eukaryota; Metazoa; Chordata; Actinopteri; Cypriniformes; Cyprinidae.
CAGACACACACAAACAUGAAAUGUUUAAACUAGUAUAUUAAUACUCAAUAAGCAUGCUUAAACCCACACACAGAUGCACACAUUUAGUUAUAUAUAUAGAUAAUUAAAAUAAAUGAUGGGUGAUAAAACCUAUUGCAAGUCUUCUGUUUUUAUGGGCUUCUAUGUCAUUUUUCAGGUUUCAUUGCAAUCAUAAUCUGGCAUAAUUAUAAACAUUAGAUAUAUCUGUAUGAAUAAAUUGGUAAACUUUGACUCAAUGUGAUCUGAAAUGCUUGAACAGUAAUAUUAAAUAAUAGUAAUAUACAUUUUUUCUAGAUGAAUCCCUCAACAAGCCCAUAAACUGUAAUGUUUUAGUCUUUAGUGAGCUCAUUAGUGGUCUUCCGGUGACAUCUAGUGGUUAUAAUUGCAAUUUUUUAUUCAACACUGGGUUUUGAAGCUUUAUAAAUAUUACAGUGUUCUUUUUUACCUAAUCUCUGUUAAAUUUUGCAUGAUUGUUUAGAAAAAAUACAGAUCUAAUGCAUGUGUGAUUAUAUUACCCCUUUUUUUGCAGUUUAAUGCCAUUCACAACAGAAAUCUUUUGUUUUUUAGGCCAUUUUAACUGUUAUAGCACCAGCUAUUUUCUGAUCUUAAUGAAACUUUGCAUGCUUGGUGGGUCAUCUUUCACAUGUUAUAACCAAGUUUCAUAAAGUUUUGAGUUUUUGUUUCAGUUUUAUAGGCUUUAGGUUACAUGUGGCCACGGCCCUUUCCUAAAUGACCUCUUAUAGCUAACCAAAGGACAAAAUGCAACAUAUUUUUGAAAAUUAUUGAUCUAGAGAGUCCAGAGAAUAUUAUUGCAGUGGUUUGAUCAAGACUGAACAAAAAACCAGGUGACCCAAAACAUUCAAAUUCGUGGACCAAUUUUACAAAAAAGGCUAUAACUCGGGAACAAAAUGAGAUAUCUUCACCAAACUCAGAACUCAUAUGCAUGAACAAAAACUUUAGUCAAAUUAUUAUUUUUUUUCCAUAUCUGCCACUUGGUAGCGCUACAGGAUGAAAAAAAAUCAAAUGGCUAUAACUAAGCAACCGUUGAUCCAAUCAACUUGAAAAUUGAUAUGGCCCAAUGUGGCACAAGUGCUCUAUGAGGAAUUUCACUUAUCUUAAAAAACAUGGCCGCCAUUGGCCAAACAACUUUAAGCACCUAUUUGACAAGGUUAAUGGAAGUCGAUCGGAACGAAACUCGGUGGGCAUGUUCGACUCAUUGCCCUAAAGGUCUGUAAGUAUUUUGAAAGAAAUUGACCACAACAUUGUCACCUCCCACAGAACACAACAAAGCGAUUUGAUUACAGCGCCACCUAUUUUCCAAAAAUGAUAAUGCAUCAUUUUACUGGAGUUUUACUGGCUGUUUCAAUUACACUCUUCCAAUAAUUGCUUUUCUUACUUGUUGCAUUUGGUCUGAUGCUCCAUGCCAUGCUUAGCUCCUCGCUGUGGAACUUUUAUUAACGAUUUUCAGCCAUUUCAAUUACAAUCAUGCAAUUAUUAAUUUCAUUAUUCAUUGUUGCAUUUGGUCUGAUGCUACAUAUGCUUAGCUCCUGAUGUUGCCGCUGGAAUGCUUGGCCCCGUGAUUGCUGCUUGCAGCUAUAUUUCUUCUUCUUCUUCUUCUUCCGCCGCAAGUCUAUGGCAGCCCAUAGAACCGUUUGCGGGAAAGUUGUAUAAUUUGGCACACUGAUAGAGGACAGUCCCAACAUUAACUAUAGCAAAUUUGAAGCCUCUAACUCCUACUCUCUAGCGCCACCACUUGUCCAAACUUUCAAUGUUUGUAUGCUAAUAACUUUUGAACCGUAAGCCAGAAAAUGGAAAUUCUUUUUUCCUCUGAAUCCUUGGCUCAGGCCAAGUCGAAUGAACCCUAAAAUUCAAAAAUCGCAAGGUUUAGUUUUUUCGCUAUUUUCAAUUAUUCGAAAAACCUACUUUUUCGAACUCGUCCUAGACGGUUAGUCCGAUUGCCACGAAAAUUGGCUCAGAUCAUCUUCAGACCAUGCUGGCAAAAAGUUAUGGAAUUCAAGUUGAUUCGUCCAACUGUUGUCGAAUGACACGUAAACAAAUUUGACGAAAAGCACGCAAACAUGCACGUGAGGCUAUAUCCCGGCAACGGUUUGUCAUAUUGAGACCAAACUUGGCGUGUGUUAUAACAAGCAUGAACUGAGACUACCUGCUGUGUUUCGACACAGCGCCACCUAGUGGUCAGGAGAUAUGAAAAAUGCAUAUUUUGGCUUAUAACUACUGAAUGGUUUGGCCAAAAAUCACACAACUGGUCUCUUUAGAUUCAGUGAGUCAUGUCGAGUCGAAUGAUAUCCAAUUUUCCUGUGUCGGCCAUUUUAGGCGUCGGCCAUUUUGAAUUAUGUUUCAAAAUGCUGUAUUUUUUGAACGCAGCAUCGUAUCGUUUCGCAAAUAAUUACAAAAAUAUUCGGCUCCAUGCCCUGAAGAUACUCAAAAAGUUUGGUGGCAGCGCCACCUUGUGGCCAAUAGUUAUAAUGAAA